CCAGACUCCUACGGGAGGCAGCAGUGGGGAAUAUUGCACAAUGGGGGAAACCCUGAUGCAGCAACGCCGCGUGAAGGAAGACGGUUUUCGGAUUGUAAACUUCUGUUCUUAGUGAAGAAGAAUGACGGUAGCUAAGGAGCAAGCCACGGCUAACUACGUGCCAGCAGCCGCGGUAAUACGUAGGGGGCAAGCGUUAUCCGGAUUUACUGGGUGUAAAGGGAGCGUAGACGGCGAUGCAAGCCAGAUGUGAAAGCCCGGGGCUCAACCCCGGGACUGCAUUUGGAACUGUGUGGCUGGAGUGUCGGAGAGGCAGGCGGAAUUCCUAGUGUAGCGGUGAAAUGCGUAGAUAUCAGGAGGAACACCGGCGGCGAAGGCGGCCUGCUGGACCGUGACUGACGUUGAGGCUCGAGAGCGUGGGGAGCAAACAGGAUUAGAUACCCGAGUAA
This 446-nucleotide ribosomal RNA is filed under the name uncultured bacterium. RNAcentral describes it as "bacterial SSU rRNA". It matches the Rfam family "Bacterial small subunit ribosomal RNA", at positions 331 to 793 of the family's 1533-position model. The record is from RNAcentral.